Molecule: ribosomal RNA, 614 nt
Filed under: Pseudomonas sp. HPC445
Lineage: Bacteria; Pseudomonadati; Pseudomonadota; Gammaproteobacteria; Pseudomonadales; Pseudomonadaceae
Description: bacterial SSU rRNA
Rfam family: Bacterial small subunit ribosomal RNA
Source: RNAcentral
AUUGACGCUGGCGGCAGGCCUAACUCAUGCACGUCGAGCGGAUGACGGGAGCUUGCUCCCUGAUUUAGCGACGGACGGGUGAGUAAUGCCUAGGAAUCUGCCUGGUAGUGGGGGAUAACGUUCCGAAAGGAACGCUAAUACCGCAUACGUCCUACGGGAGAAAGCAGGGGACCUUCGGGCCUUGCGCUAUCAGAUGAGCCUAGGUCGGAUUAGCUAGUUGGUGAGGUAAUGGCUCACCAAGGCGACGAUCCGUAACUGGUCUGAGAGGAUGAUCAGUCACACUGGAACUGAGACACGGUCCAGACUCCUACGGGAGGCAGCAGUGGGGAAUAUUGGACAAUGGGCGAAAGCCUGAUCCAGCCAUGCCGCGUGUGUGAAGAAGGUCUUCGGAUUGUAAAGCACUUUAAGUUGGGAGGAAGGGCAUUAACCUAAUACGUUAGUGUUUUGACGUUACCGACAGAAUAAGCACCGGCUAACUUCGUGCCAGCAGCCGCGGUAAUACGAAGGGUGCAAGCGUUAAUCGGAAUUACUGGGCGUAAAGCGCGCGUAGGUGGUUCAGUAAGUUGGAUGUGAAAUCCCCGGCUCAACCUGGAACUGCAUCCAAACUGCUGAGC